Molecule: ribosomal RNA, 544 nt
Filed under: uncultured bacterium
Lineage: Bacteria
Description: partial 16S ribosomal RNA
Rfam family: Bacterial small subunit ribosomal RNA
Source: RNAcentral
UGGGGAAUAUUGCACAAUGGGCGCAAGCCUGAUGCAGCCAUGCCGCGUGUGUGAAGAAGGCCUUCGGUUGUAAAGCACUUUCAGCGAGGAGGAAGGUGGUGAGCUUAAUACGCUCAUCAAUUGACGUUACUCGCAGAAGAAGCACCGGCUAACUCCGUGCCAGCAGCCGCGGUAAUACGGAGGGUGCAAGCGUUAAUCGGAAUUACUGGGCGUAAAGCGCACGCAGGCGGUUUGUUAAGUCAGAUGUGAAAUCCCCGGGCUCAACCUGGGAACUGCAUUUGAAACUGGCAAGCUAGAGCCUCGUAGAGGGGGGUAGAAUUCCAGGUGUAGCGGUGAAAUGCGUAGAGAUCUGGAGGAAUACCGGUGGCGAAGGCGGCCCCCUGGACGAAGACUGACGCUCAGGUGCGAAAAGCGUGGGGAGCAAAACAGGAUUAGAUACCCUGGUAGUCCACGCUGUAAACGAUGUCGAUUUUGGAGGUUGUGCCCUUGAGGCGUGGCUUCCGGAGCUAACGCGUUAAAUCGACCGCCUGGGGAGUACGGCCGC